This 104-nucleotide ribosomal RNA is filed under the name Staphylococcus epidermidis. RNAcentral's name for it is "partial 16S ribosomal RNA". It matches the Rfam family "Bacterial small subunit ribosomal RNA", at positions 1430 to 1533 of the family's 1533-position model. The record is from RNAcentral. Lineage: Bacteria; Bacillati; Bacillota; Bacilli; Caryophanales; Staphylococcaceae.
CCGUCGUAACCAUUUGGAGCUAGCCGUCGAAGGUGGGACAAAUGAUUGGGGUGAAGUCGUAACAAGGUAGCCGUAUCGGAAGGUGCGGCUGGAUCACCUCCUUU